GUGGGGAAUAUUGGGCAAUGGGGGCAACCCUGACCCAGCGACGCCGCGUGAGGGAAGACGGCCUUCGGGUUGUAAACCUCUUUUGUACGGGAAGAAGGAAGUGACGGUACUGUACGAAUAAGUCCCGGCUAACUACGUGCCAGCAGCCGCGGUAAUACGUAGGGGACGAGCGUUGUCCGGAAUUACUGGGCGUAAAGGGCGCGCAGGCUGUGCUGCAAGUCAGCUGUGAAAUGUCUGGGCUUAACCCGGGCAGGCGGUUGAGACUGCAGUGCUGGAGUGCUGGAGAGGCAAGUGGAAUUCCCAGUGUAGCGGUGAAAUGCGUAGAUAUUGGGAAGAACACCGGUGGCGAAGGCGACUUGCUGGGCAGCAACUGACGCUGAGGCGCGAAAGCCAGGGGAGCAAACGGGAUUAGAAACCCCGGUAGUCC
This 427-nucleotide ribosomal RNA is filed under the name uncultured bacterium. RNAcentral describes it as "partial 16S ribosomal RNA". It matches the Rfam family "Bacterial small subunit ribosomal RNA", at positions 354 to 796 of the family's 1533-position model. The record is from RNAcentral.